CCCUUAGAUGUUCUGGGCCGCACGCGCGCUACACUGAUGCAUUCAACGAGCCUAUCCUUGACCGACAGGUCCGGGUAAUCUUUGAAUCUGCAUCGUGACGGGGAUAGAUUAUUGCAAUUAUUAAUCUUCAACGAGGAAUGCCUAGUAGGCGCAAGUCAUCAGCUUGCGUCGAUUACGUCCCUGCCCUUUGUACACACCGCCCGUCGCUCCUACCGAUUGGGUGUGCUGGUGAAAUGUUCGGAUCGGCCGUUUGUCGCGGUUUCCGCGUCAUGUGGCUAAGAAGUUCAUUAAACCCUCCCACCUAGAGGAAGGAGAAGUCGUAACA
Molecule: ribosomal RNA, 325 nt
Filed under: uncultured eukaryote
Lineage: Eukaryota
Description: partial 18S ribosomal RNA
Rfam family: Eukaryotic small subunit ribosomal RNA
Source: RNAcentral